UGGGGAAUAUUGGACAAUGGGGGACCUGGAUCCAGCAUGCCGCGUGUGUGAAGAAGGCCUUAUGGUUGUAAAGCACUUUAAGCGAGGAGGAGGCUACUAGUAUUAAUACUACUGGAUAGUGGACGUUACUCGCAGAAUAAGCACCGGCUAACUCUGUGCCAGCAGCCGCGGUAAUACAGAGGGUGCGAGCGUUAAUCGGAUUUACUGGGCGUAAAGCGUGCGUAGGCGGCCAUUUAAGUCAAAUGUGAAAUCCCCGAGCUUAACUUGGGAAUUGCAUUCGAUACUGGAUGGCUAGAGUAUGGGAGAGGAUGGUAGAAUUCCAGGUGUAGCGGUGAAAUGCGUAGAGAUCUGGAGGAAUACCGAUGGCGAAGGCAGCCAUCUGGCCUAAUACUGACGCUGAGGUACGAAAGCAUGGGGAGCAAACAGGAUUAGAUACCCUGGUAGUCCAUGCCGUAAACGAUGUCUACUAGCCGUUGGGGCCUUUGAGGCUUAGUGGCGCAGCUAACGCGAUAAGUAGACCGCCUGGGGAGUACGGUCGCAAGACUAAAAGCUCAAAGGG
RNAcentral lists this ribosomal RNA (559 nucleotides) under uncultured bacterium. Its description in RNAcentral is "partial 16S ribosomal RNA". It matches the Rfam family "Bacterial small subunit ribosomal RNA", at positions 355 to 908 of the family's 1533-position model. The record is from RNAcentral.